ACAUAAUUAAUUUAAGAAUUUUGAGAUGAGGAGAUCAUCCUGGAUUAUUUGGGAGGACUCCAAAUCCAAGGACAAGUGUCUUUAUAAGAGACCCAGAGAGGAAAAGGCGACGUGAAGACUGGUCAAGGCACAGAAAGAACUUUCCCGAGAGUGUGUGGGGAGUGAAGCCUUCUUAACAGCCCCAUAGCAUCCUGAUUUUGUGCCAAAGGGCAGGUGGCAAUGGUAAGAGGUCUUUACCAUCUCAAGAGCUGGAUGAGCCUAGAGAAAUGACAGAAUCAAGAGUUUGCCUGGGGAGACAGAAGUCCGUCUGGAGUUGGUGUGAGGAGUGAGUGGGACAUCAGCAGCAGCUGGGGGCUGAAGAGAAAGGGUAGUUUGGAGGAAAGU
Non-coding RNA from Microcebus murinus (gray mouse lemur), 384 nucleotides. NCBI's taxonomy places the organism in Eukaryota, Metazoa, Chordata, Mammalia, Primates, Cheirogaleidae. The record is from RefSeq and is a predicted model, not a curated record.